Molecule: ribosomal RNA, 504 nt
Filed under: uncultured bacterium
Lineage: Bacteria
Description: partial 16S ribosomal RNA
Rfam family: Bacterial small subunit ribosomal RNA
Source: RNAcentral
AUUGAACGCUGGCGGCAGGCCUAACACAUGCAAGUCGAACGGUAGCACAGAGAGCUUGCUCUCGGGUGACGAGUGGCGGACGGGUGAGUAAUGUCUGGGAAACUGCCCGAUGGAGGGGGAUAACUACUGGAAACGGUAGCUAAUACCGCAUAACGUCGCAAGACCAAAGUGGGGGACCUUCGGGCCUCACACCAUCGGAUGUGCCCAGAUGGGAUUAGCUAGUAGGUGGGAUAAUGGCUCACCUAGGCGACGAUCCCUAGCUGGUCUGAGAGGAUGACCAGCCACACUGGAACUGAGACACGGUCCAGACUCCUACGGGAGGCAGCAGUGGGGAAUAUUGCACAAUGGGCGCAAGCCUGAUGCAGCCAUGCCGCGUGUAUGAAGAAGGCCUUCGGGUUGUAAAGUACUUUCAGCGGGGAGGAAGGCGGUGAAGUUAAUAGCUUCACCGAUUGACGUUACCCGCAGAAGAAGCACCGGCUAACUCCGUGCCAGCCGCCGCAGUAA